Molecule: ribosomal RNA, 255 nt
Filed under: Clostridioides difficile
Lineage: Bacteria; Bacillati; Bacillota; Clostridia; Peptostreptococcales; Peptostreptococcaceae
Description: partial 16S ribosomal RNA
Rfam family: Bacterial small subunit ribosomal RNA
Source: RNAcentral
GAAUGGACGGGGACCCGCACAAGUAGCGGAGCAUGUGGGUUAAUUCGAAGCAACGCGAAGAACCUUACCUAAGCUUGACAUCCCAAUGACAUCUCCUUAAUCGGAGAGUUCCCUUCGGGGACAUUGGUGACAGGUGGUGCAUGGUUGUCGUCAGCUCGUGUCGUGAGAUGUUGGGUUAAGUCCCGCAACGAGCGCAACCCUUGUCUUUAGUUGCCAUCAUUAAGUUGGGCACUCUAGAGAGACUGCCAGGGAUAA